Molecule: long non-coding RNA, 1138 nt
Organism: Apis mellifera (honey bee)
Lineage: Eukaryota; Metazoa; Arthropoda; Insecta; Hymenoptera; Apidae
Exons: 3
Source: RefSeq, a predicted model, not a curated record
UAAUUUCUGCAAUAAGCCAUUAUGACAGAUUGUAUAAGAAUAAUUGAUUAGCAGAUUAAGUCAGUGUAUCGAUUAAUUAUGAAUCAAUUUGAUUUUCGCCAUCUUUACUAACGACACCUUCUGUCACCAUUAUAAUUUAUGUAAUGUUAUAACAUCGACGCUAGAUGUCACGUCGAUAUGUUCUAUUUAGACAUCUAUUCUCGAGCAAUAAUUUUAUUUAGACAUUUUGUUCAGAAGAUGAAUCAUGAAAAUCAAUAAAAUACUUAAUUAAUCAUUGAAGAUCGAUUAACAUCGACUUUUCAACGAAUAUAAAAAUAUCCUGUGGAACGAAAUUAGAAUUUCUUUUCUAUUAUAUUUUCUUGUUUAAGACAUUUGAUGAAUAUCAAGAAACAUCGAGAAAAAAAAUAUAUGAAUAUAUUGUUUAUUUUUUCUACAAUAAACCAAGGUUUAUAGGUGGAACGAUUAAAAUAAAAAAGAAAUCUUAGCUUUUUGAUUGGAUACAACGAAAGAAAAUUAAAACUAAAAUUCAGGAUAUUAUUCUCUUCAUUAUUUUCGCACUGUUAAUUUUAUGAUACAUUUUUAACAUAUCCCAAGCUUUAUUAGAAUAUAAUGAAUUAUAAAAUAGUAAAUUAUGACACUAAUAAAAAAACUGUAAAGAUAUGUAUGAACAAAAUGGAGAAUUUUAUAUGGAAAGAAAUUCUCGUGGUUCUAAUUUUAAAAAGUGCUGGAAUCCAUCCACACAGGUGAUCGUGUGAUCGAAAAAGCGACUAUUAACUGUAUGGAUAAGAAUUGCGCAGGAUCCAAUUGCUGCAAAUAUUUUUGACUGUCCUUGCUCCAGUAAACUGUGCCAUGUUGCUAUGUCACAAUAAAUAAAGAUAACAUUAUCGUUUGCAUGUGUUUUUACAACGGUAAAAUGUUUAUAAGAAUUUAUAAGAAUUAUAUGUUGCAAAAUUUCAUUUUUCAAUAUGUAAUUGAAAACAUAAAUGUUUGAAUUUUUGAAUUUUUAAUAUGAAGCUUGAAUUAAAAUUUUAUGUCAACAGCAUCGAAGAUUUACGAAAGUUUAAGUAAACGAUUUGUUUGCGUCAAAUGAAGAAAAAAUAUUACAUAUAAGACUAAUUAAAUCUUGGUUUUAUGUUAA